GACGAACGCUGGCGGCGUGCUUAACGCAUGCAAGUCGAACGGAAAGGCCCUGCUUUUGUGGGGUGCUCGAGUGGCGAACGGGUGAGUAACACGUGAGUAACCUGCCCUUGACUUUGGGAUAACUUCAGGAAGCUGGGGCUAAUACCGGAUAGGAGCUCCUGCUGCAUGGUGGGGGUUGGAAAGUUUCGGCGGUUGGGGAUGGACUCGCGGCUUAUCAGCUUGUUGGUGGGGUAGUGGCUUACCAAGGCUUUGACGGGUAGCCGGCCUGAGAGGGUGACCGGCCACAUUGGGACUGAGAUACGGCCCAGACUCCUACGGGAGGCAGCAGUGGGGAAUAUUGCACAAUGGGCGGAAGCCUGAUGCAGCAACGCCGCGUGCGGGAUGACGGCCUUCGGGUUGUAAACCGCUUUCGCCUGUGACGAAGCGUGAGUGACGGUAAUGGGUAAAGAAGCACCGGCUAACUACGUG
RNAcentral lists this ribosomal RNA (468 nucleotides) under uncultured bacterium. RNAcentral describes it as "partial 16S ribosomal RNA". It matches the Rfam family "Bacterial small subunit ribosomal RNA", at positions 28 to 507 of the family's 1533-position model. The record is from RNAcentral.